RNAcentral lists this unclassified non-coding RNA (8187 nucleotides) under Hevea brasiliensis (rubber tree). Lineage: Eukaryota; Viridiplantae; Streptophyta; Magnoliopsida; Malpighiales; Euphorbiaceae. The record is from RNAcentral.
UCUCACUCUACCAUCAACACAAAUAUAUUAACGCCAUUCUCCUUUUACAGCUCCAUUCUGAUUUUUAUCCUUUCUAUCCUUUCUCUAUUGAUCAAGGCCGGGGCUUAGUUGGGUGUGGAUAGGUUCAGGGAUGCUUGUUGUAGCUACAACUUUGCUGGAUACGGAUUUAAAUUGUUGAAAUAAGAGGCUUUAUUCGAAAUAUGAGCUUUAUUCUUGAUGAUAGAGAAACGGAAAGUGAUGAUUUGUCGAGUUCUAAGACUUCUCAGGUUAAGUUAGGGUUGCAAAAGGGUUUGUUUCAGAAUUCGUUAAAACCUAGGGCUAAGAAGAUGGAAGGGGAACAGAAGAAGUCUGGGGCUAAGGUUAGAUCGAAGCCUAUUGAGACUGGUUUUGAUUCUGAUGAUAAUGAGCCCAUUAGGUCUUUAUUCAAGUUGAAGAGACCUAGAAAUCCCAAAAAGGUUAAGAUGGUUUUGGACAAGGCUAGAGAAGAAAAAUUGGUGGCUGAGGAUGAUGAUUUUGGUGGCAUGGAUGAUACACUAGCCAGUUUUAGGAAGAGGUUGAAGGGUCCUAAGAAAGAUAUUGGAUCUGUUAUUGUGAGGCCUUUGGAGGAUAAUGUGGUUAAAGGUUGCAGUGAAAGUGUUGAUGUGCUGGGCUCAUCUACGAAUAAAGGAGUAGUUGAACACAAACAUAAGGAAAAGGUGAAGAAAACAAAAAUUGAAUCUAAAAUAGGGAGAACUAGGGGUGAUGCUGAAGUUUAUGAUACUUUAGAAACUUUUGGAUCUCAGGUGGAAGAUCAAAAGGAGGAAGGUUCACAGCCUACUGAGGGUUCAAGUCAUUCUUUGGAUGAGAAGUUGGGAGACUCAUUAUCAUGUAUUUUUUAUAAGGCGCAAGCUGGUCCAAUACGGAAGUCUCACAUGAAUUCAUGUUCAAAACAAAAUAGUAGGGUUCGGAGUUUGGAGGAUGGGUUGAGCCCUUCCUCUGAAUGUGUUUCAGAGUUUUCCAUGUCCAUGGCUGCAAGGAUACCUAGAACUGCUUCUGCCUCAAAUGUAGUCCGCAAAGAUCUGAAAGCUGAAGAUGGUUGCACUAUAGUUACCGGUUUGAGUCCGUCAGAGGCUGUCUCUGAACACAGUAAGAUAGUGAAAAACAAAAGGCUUGAUAAUGGUUUUUGUCAAUCUUCUAAUUGUAUGCAAGAGAAUUCUGAUGAAAAUACAAAGUCCAAUGUCAAAAGACGUGCUAGAUCUGUAGAAAUUAUGUCCCCGCCUGCAUCAUUUCACUGUUGUGGGAUUCAAGAUGAAAGAAUGCUAGAUUCUGGUGUCUCAAAUGUUAAAGAAGAACUUAUGGUGGAUCCUUGUACUUCAAAUGGACUUCGUGAUCAAAAGUUUUCUGUUUCUGGUCAAGCGGAUAGUUUGGACACUCAGUCUUUGAAGAAUGGUUUAAGGCUUUGUUCUAUUGGAAAGGCAAACACUUUGGUCCAUGAUGUUGUGAAAGUGCCUACUUCUGCAUCAGUGCAGUUUGAAGACAUUGAUGGGUUCUGUGAUCAGAAGUCCAACAAAGUUUUAAGGGAUGCAUGGGACCAUCAAUCUAAGAAUGUUUCAACUCCACGCAUUUCAAAGGCAGAAAACCAAAUUUCAUUUUCUUCAAGUAGAAAAGAAAUAUUACAACCUUCUAUGGUUGAUGAGAUACCAAACAAGUUGUGUAGAUGUUCAUCUGACAGGAUUCACAAACCAGCUUAUGAAGGAAUUUUGGGUGGUUCUCUGAAUAAUUUAUCUGCUAACUCUUCUCAACACUAUGCGAGGAUGGAAAAAGCUGCUAAAACUGAAACUGCUCUUGAUUUUGAUCAAUGCCCAAAAGCUUCCCUGCAUGUUCAACCCCACUUGGCUGACUCUACUUUUGCUUCACCAAAGAUUGAAGAAACUUGUGGUGAUUGUGAUGUUCCUAAUGGUUAUGGUGAUAAGUCAUAUCUUGCUUCAGUUUCUCCCAAAAGGAAAAAUGCUGCAACAUCUGAUGGCAAGUUAUGUUUGAACAAUGCAAUGUCUGAUGAAGUCGAUAAAGAUGCAUGUAACUACCAGAUGAACCACCGAGGGAACUCAGAAACUUUUGUUCAUCCAAGUGAGUCCUCCAUCUCCAUUCAAAAGCACAGCCCUGUUUUGCAUCAAAGUCUACAUUCAGAGGAUGCAACAAAAGGGAACUGUGUUCCAAGUCAUGAUUAUCUUUCCAUCAAUGAGGAGACCAAUGGAGCCUCUUCUAUGUCUAUUACUCCAGAGGAAAAUGAAAGUUGCCCAGAAGAUGCAGUAUCCAUUCCUGACUCUGAAAUCAAAGAUGGGAAGUUAUCAUCUGUUCAGCGUGGUGCACGGAAGGCCAAAAAGCGUAGACUUGGGGACAUGGCUUAUGAAGGGGAUCCUGAUUGGGAAAUCUUGACAAAUGAUCAACGUUAUCAGGAAAGUGACCAGUUUGUGGACAGUGAUAAAUCUUUUAGAAUGAGAGAGAAGUCUGAGUCCUCUUCAAUUAGUGUUACAGAGGCUGAAAAUGGUGGGGCAGCAGCAGUUUCAGUUGGAUUGAAAGCCCAUGCUGCUGGUCCAGUUGAGAAGAUAAAAUUUAAGGAGGUCUUAAAACGCAAAGGUGGGCUUCAAGAAUAUUUGGAAUGCAGGAAUCAGAUCUUGGGUCUUUGGAGUAAAGAUGUUAGCCGUAUUUUGCCUCUUGCUGACUGUGGUGUCACAGAUACUCCUUCUGAGGAGGAAUCAUCACACGCUUCUCUAAUUAGGGAAAUCUAUGCAUUUCUUGAUCAGAGUGGCUAUAUAAAUAUUGGAAUUGCUUCCAAGAAGGAGAAAGCAGAGCAUAGUGUGAACCAUAAUUAUAAACUUGUUGAAGAAAAAAAUUUUGAGGUAAAUUCCGGGGCAUCAAUUGCUGAUUUGGAGGAUGGCGUCUCAUAUAUCCUUGGUCAAUUUAAAUGUUCCGAAACUUCCUUGGAGGCAAAUAAUAGAGUUACAGAUGAUAAUGAAAAACCUGUGUCAAAAGCUACGAUAAGCUGGGAGCUUGUUACUCCAACCAAAGUGGAAGUAUCCAAUGCAACAGAAUGUCGAGAUUGCCCAAUUGGUGAUAUUCAGCAAACUGGUGCUAUCAAUGCGAAAUUAGCCAAUGGAUUUGUCAACUUGGAUGAUGUGAGUGGUGAUCCAUUUUGUGCAAUGCUGGAUAACAGGAUAGAUGUCGCAAAUCCAGAGUUAAGGAAUGACUUGCAGAGUGUUCAAUCUUCCUCCGGUGAUGAUACUGGGGGAAGUCAUAAUUUUCAGUGUGAUUCUGAAGACAGAAAGAAAAUCAUUGUGGUAGGAGCCGGUCCUGCUGGCUUAACUGCUGCCCGCCACUUGCAACGACAGGGUUUUUCUGUGACUGUGGUUGAGGCUAGGAAUAGGAUAGGGGGCCGUGUUUAUACAGAUCGCUCAUCUCUUUCAGUUCCUGUAGAUCUUGGAGCUAGCAUUAUCACUGGUGUUGAGGCUGAUGUGGCCACUGAAAGAAGACCGGACCCUUCCUCGUUGAUUUGUGCCCAGUUGGGCCUUGAGUUGACAGUCCUGAAUAGUGAUUGCCCUCUUUAUGAUAUUGUGACCAGAGAAAAAGUUCCAACAGAUCUGGAUGAGGCAUUGGAAGCAGAGUACAACAGCCUUCUUGAUGACAUGGUAUUACUUAUUGCACAGAAGGGGGAACAUGCAAUGAAAAUGUCUCUUGAGGAUGGUUUAGAAUAUGCCCUUAAGAGUCGGCGUCUGGCACAACCAGGAUCAGAUAUUGAUGAAACCAAAUUGCAAAAUGCUGUAGACAAUUUAUGUGUUUCAAAAACUUGUAGUUUUGAUGGUGGAGUUCCUGAAAAAAGUUGUUCUAAAGAGGAGAUUUUGACUCCGCUUGAGAGGAGAGUCAUGGAUUGGCAUUUUGCCCAUUUGGAGUAUGGUUGUGCUGCUUUAUUGAAGGAAUUAUCUCUUCCCUACUGGAAUCAAGAUGAUGUUUAUGGAGGUUUCGGAGGAGCUCAUUGUAUGAUUAAAGGGGGUUACGGUAAUGUUGUUGAGUCUCUUAGUGAAGGUCUAUGCAUUCACUUGAAUCAUGUAGUCACAGAUAUUACAUAUAGCACCAAGGAAACUGGAUUAAGUGAAAAUCAGCAUCACAAAGUUAAGGUUUCCACAUCUAAUGGUAGUGAAUUUUUUGGAGAUGCUGUUUUGAUCACAGUGCCACUUGGUUGUUUGAAAGCAGGAACCAUAGAAUUUAACCCUCCCUUGCCCCAGUGGAAACUUUCUUCCAUCCAGCGACUUGGUUUUGGAGUUCUUAAUAAAGUAGUGUUGGAAUUUCCAGAGGUGUUUUGGGAUGAUUCUGUGGAUUACUUUGGAGCUACGGCUGAGGAAAUUGAUCGAAGGGGCCAUUGCUUUAUGUUUUGGAAUGUCAGGAAAACUGUUGGGGCUCCUGUUCUUAUAGCCUUAGUGGUUGGUAAAGCAGCUGUAGAUGGUCAAAGGAUAAGCUCAUCAGAUCAUGUAAGCCAUGCAUUAAUGGUUCUUCGUAAGCUUUUUGGGGAGGCUGUAGUACCUGAUCCAGUUGCAUCAGUAGUGACUGAUUGGGGUAGGGAUCCAUUCAGCUAUGGUGCUUACUCCUAUGUUGCCAUUGGAUCAUCUGGGGAAGACUACGAUAUAUUGGGCAGGCCUAUUGAGAACUGUUUAUUUUUUGCUGGUGAAGCUACCUGCAAGGAGCAUCCUGACACUGUUGGUGGUGCUAUGAUGAGUGGGCUCCGGGAGGCAGUGCGUAUAAUUGACAUUCUAAAUACUGGAAAUGAUUACACAGCAGAAGUAGAGGCAAUGGAAGCUUCACAGAGACACUCAGAAUGUGAAAGGGAUGAAGUUAGGGACAUAACAAAGAGACUUGAGGCUGUUGAACUUUCCAAUGUCCUCUACAAGAAUUCUUUGGAUGGAGCCCAGAUUUUAACCAGGGAAGCAUUACUGCGAGAUAUGUUCUUUAGUGCAAAAACUACUGCAGGACGAUUGCAUCUGGCCAAGAAAUUGUUGAAUCUUCCUGUUGAGACUUUGAAGUCCUUUGCUGGGACCAGAAAAGGGCUUACCACACUUAAUUCAUGGAUUCUGGAUUCAAUGGGGAAGGAUGGAACUCAACUCUUGCGUCACUGUGUUCGUCUUCUUGUACUUGUUUCUACUGAUUUACUUGCAGUGCGUUUGUCAGGCAUAGGGAAAACUGUGAAAGAAAAAGUAUGUGUGCAUACCAGCCGUGAUAUACGUGCCAUAGCAAGUCAGUUGGUUAGCGUGUGGCUUGAAGUCUUCCGCAGAGAAAAAGCUUCAAACGGUGGGCUAAAGCCAUUGAGGCAGGCAACUGCGGUAGAUUCUUCAAAGAGAAAAUUUGUUCACAAUCCAGCCUCAGGGAAGCCGCCCCUGCAUGCUUAUUGUGGUGGUUUGGAGACUAGAGGUAGCUUAGAAUUUCCUCAAUCCAGUGGAAGCCAUUUACCUUCUAAUGCAAAUAUGAAGAAAGUAAAUGGAAAGCUGUUCAAGGCAGAAACCUUAAAGGAAUCAACAUCCCAUGCUUCCCUAGGCACACAGGAUGCUGAGGUGGAGGAGGAAAGCCACUAUGUUAUGUCCAAAGAAGAAAUGGCUGCUUUAGCUGCAGCCGAGGCAGCCCAUGCUGCUGCUCGUGCAGCUGCUGAGGCAUAUGCUUCAGCACAAGCCAAGAGCAACAUGGUGUUGCAGCUUCCAAAGAUACCCUCAUUUCACAAAUUUGCAAGACGGGAACAGUAUGCACAAAUGGAUGACUUUGAUCUUAGAAGAAACUGGUCUGGUGCUAUCCUGGGAAAACAAGAUUGUGUAUCAGAAAUAGACUCAAGGAACUGUAGAGUCAGGGACUGGUCUGUUGAUUUCUCUGCUACUUGUGUUAAUCUUAAUAGUUCAAGGACAUCGGUUGAUAACUUAUCUCAGCGGAGCCAUUCAAAUGAGAUUGCAUGCCAUAUGAAUUUCAGAGAGCAGUCUGGAGAAACAGCAGCUGUGGACAGCAGUCUUUUUACUAGAGCAUGGGUUGAUACUGUUGGUAAUGAGGGGAUAAAGGACCAUCAUGCCAUUGAGAGAUGGCAAUCUCAAGCAGCUGCUGCUGAUUCAGACUUUUUUCAUCCAGCUUUGCGUGUAAAUGAUGCAGAGGAUUCAAACACAAGUUCAAAACCAACCUGGAAGAAUGAUGGACGAGCAAAUGAUGGCUCAAUCUCACAGGUUUCAUUAAACAAGGAACCACAAAAAAAUCGUCUCCGAGGUGCAGAUCGUAUUAAACAGGCUGUUGUGGAUUUUGUUGCGUCACUGUUGAUGCCUGUUUAUAAGGCACGGAAAAUUGACAGAGAAGGAUACAAAUCAAUAAUGAAGAAAACUGCAACUAAGGUCAUGGAGCAGGCCACUGAUACAGAAAAAGCAAUGGCUGUUUCUCAGUUUCUUGAUUUCAAACGCAAGAAUAAGAUUCGUGCCUUUGUGGACAAACUGAUUGAGAGGCACAUGGCAAUGAAGCCUGCUGUGAAACCUUGAUAGUCCUCAAGAUUGACUAGUUUGUGUUUUUGGAUGCACCUCUACAACAAUUACAGAAGUGUUUUACAUUUUGGUCACACAUAAAUCCACAGCAUAAGAUAGUGGUGGCAGUACUCCUGGAUUGGGUUCCCCAGUGUAAAUAUUUAAUUCAAACUGCCAAUAUGCUGCUAAAGAUCCAGAACGUGCCAAGGAAGAAAGGAGAUGAUUCUAAGCCUGUUGGAUCAUGGAGAAGCUCUAGUGAAGAUCAUUCGAUGUUUGGCUUACUGAAGCAAAUAUUUGGCAUCCUUGAAAAUAUGAUCAGAAUUGUUCUUUGUGUCUGGAGGCCAAAGGAACACAAGAAAAGUGUUGUAGUUACACUCUUGAGCCAUUGUACUUGGAAGGGUGGAGAGUUAAUACCCCCCCUUUUUUUUUUUUAAUUUCAGGAAACCCCAUAGACAAGACACUACUUGUUUCUGACCUUUUUUUCGGGUUUUCUUUUUAUUUGUACAGCCUAGGAUUGUUUCAUGGUGACAAGAUACAGACCAUUUUUCUCUUCCCCCCACAAAGUACUAAAAGUACUGUCAUGAUUUUUCAAGUGAACAUCAAUUACUAACCUUCUUUUUCCAUUCUGCAAAGUUCAAUUCAAGGAACCUUUUGGGCUUCAUGGAAAUUUGGUCUCUCUUCUCUCUCUGUGUUUGUGUGCAUUUGCUUGCAUGUUAUCUAUGUUAGGAGAUUAACCUUUAUUCUUUGCAUCCUUAUUUAAUAGACAGAUAAUACAACGCAUCUAUGUUAUUUGAUGUAUGACAUUUGGAUUUACAUGCUAAGGUCUUUAUUUCAUGAAUAAUAGGUCUAAAAAAUUUGACUUGGAAUUUGAGGAAUUUAAUUGUUUGAGUUGCUAUGAAUGUUACACAACCAUAGACUUUGUAACAUUUUACAAGCCAGGUAAAAAAAUCUACUUAUUAACUUCUGGCAUUUAUCUUUAUGCUUACACCUCUUUCUGUUUGUGUCAGGUUGGAAAAAUGUUGUAGAUGACAUUUCAAUGAGGUAUGCCUGUUGCUAAAUUUUUUUCCCCUCUUCCAGCAAGUUGAUUACAGUUUGCAGAAUUCAAUUUAUUUUGAUUCAAAUUUAACUUGGUAACUUAAUUUGGUGCAUCAUGGCUAGUUUUGUUUUAUCGUAUAGCAAGGGAUUGAAGACGAGCUUAGUCUUUAUGGUUCAGAUGACUUUUGUUUUAUGCAAGCAAUGAUGAAGGAAACCAUGCUUCCUGGUAGUGGGCGGAACAUUGGCUUCCUGCACUUCUUGUUUGUGGUUGCAGAUUGUUGUCCGGGAAUCUUGUUUGCCUUUUGUCCUCUGAUAGUAUCUGAUGAAAUCUGAUAUUGAGAUGGAAAAAGAGAAUGUUAACUUGCAUGAUGUGAUUAUCAAGCAAUGGCAUGGCAUACCAAAAUUUCACUAUUGCAUUCUAUUCAUUGUACUGAAAGUUUUCAUUUCACUCACUUCAUUGUAUGCUAAUUGCCAAGUCGGUCCUUCUCACGUCAUGACCUCCAGUUUUCUCCUUUUCAAACUGAUGAUAAUGUUAUGACAGCUAGAAUACGGCAUGGAAUCUUAUAUAUACUUUGAAACAGUGGAAUUAUUGUCAAAUUUGUUGCUUUGUUUAUUCUUUUCUUUUAAAACUAGAUAAAUGGCG